GCACAGCGGUUGGAGCUGCUGACGCUGGACUCAAGGUUUGAGGAUUGAAUCCCACUUGCUGCUGCAUCGCCCUUGACCAAGCUGGUGUUUGUCCAGGGUGUAUCCUGCAUAAUCCCGGACUGGCUCUGGAUCAUUGUGAUGCUGCGUUCAGAAUAUUUGUCAUUGGAUAUGAAAACAGUCGAUGUCCAGCAUGAACUACAGUUCCCAUCUUCAGCCCCUACCUGCGGAUCAAGAUAACUUCUCCAGAAGGAUUAUUUUGUGGCA
Long non-coding RNA from Scleropages formosus (Asian bonytongue), 264 nucleotides. RefSeq lists it as uncharacterized. The record is from RefSeq and is a predicted model, not a curated record. The transcript has 3 exons. Lineage: Eukaryota; Metazoa; Chordata; Actinopteri; Osteoglossiformes; Osteoglossidae.